CCUGAAGUGGGGGAUAACCAUUGGAAACGAUGGCUAAUACCGCAUAAUGCCUACGGGCCAAAGAGGGGGACCUUCGGGCCUCUCGCGUCAGGAUAUGCCUAGGUGGGAUUAGCUAGUUGGUGAGGUAAUGGCUCACCAAGGCGACGAUCCCUAGCUGGUCUGAGAGGAUGAUCAGCCACACUGGAACUGAGACACGGUCCAGACUCCUACGGGAGGCAGCAGUGGGGAAUAUUGCACAAUGGGCGCAAGCCUGAUGCAGCCAUGCCGCGUGUGUGAAGAAGGCCUUCGGGUUGUAAAGCACUUUCAGUCGUGAGGAAGGGUAGUGUAGUUAAUAGCUGCAUUAUUUGACGUUAGCGACAGAAGAAGCACCGGCUAACUCCGUGCCAGCAGCCGCGGUAAUACGGAGGGUGCGAGCGUUAAUCGGAAUUACUGGGCGUAAAGCGCAUGCAGGUGGUUUGUUAAGUCAGAUGUGAAAGCCCGGGGCUCAACCUCGGAAUUGCAUUUGAAACUGGCAGACUAGAGUACUGUAGAGGGGGGUAGAAUUUCAGGUGUAGCGGUGAAAUGCGUAGAGAUCUGAAGGAAUACCGGUGGCGAAGGCGGCCCCCUGGACAGAUACUGACACUCAGAUGCGAAAGCGUGGGGAGCAAACAGGAUUAGAUACCCUGGUAGUCCACGCCGUAAACGAUGUCUACUUGGAGGUUGUGGCCUUGAGCCGUGGCUUUCGGAGCUAACGCGUUAAGUAGACCGCCUGGGGAGUACGGUCGCAAGAUUAAAACUCAAAUGAAUUGACGGGGGCCCGCACAAGCGGUGGAGCAUGUGGUUUAAUUCGAUGCAACGCGAAGAACCUUACCUACUCUUGACAUCCAGAGAACUUUCCAGAGAUGGAUUGGUGCCUUCGGGAACUCUGAGACAGGUGCUGCAUGGCUGUCGUCAGCUCGUGUUGUGAAAUGUUGGGUUAAGUCCCGCAACGAGCGCAACCCUUAUCCUUGUUUGCCAGCGAGUAAUGUCGGGAACUCCAGGGAGACUGCCGGUGAUAAACCGGAGGAAGGUGGGGACGACGU
This 1061-nucleotide ribosomal RNA is filed under the name Vibrio harveyi. RNAcentral's name for it is "bacterial SSU rRNA". It matches the Rfam family "Bacterial small subunit ribosomal RNA", at positions 130 to 1185 of the family's 1533-position model. The record is from RNAcentral. Lineage: Bacteria; Pseudomonadati; Pseudomonadota; Gammaproteobacteria; Vibrionales; Vibrionaceae.